GAAAAAAAAAAAAAGAAUACUGAAAAAAAUUUAAAAAAAAAAAUGUAACGAAGUACAGAUAUCUAAGUGCAUCAAUACUUCAAAAUUCAACAUGACAGGCAGUUGAAAUAUUGAAUGAAAUAUGUAAUUCAGAUCAUCUUGAGAUAGUUAAAAAUACAUAAUGGUUAGCGUAUACAACUUCAGCCACAGUCAUUGCACUACCUUCUACAGUAACAAGGAAUUCUUAAAUGUAUAAUUGAUAAAUAGUUAAGACAUCAGAAUCAAAAAAUUUUACGUUGCUUUCAAAAGGUGAUCUGAAAAUCAUUGUGGGCAUGACAUAAAUAGCAAAAGACCACACAACAUUAUAACUUUGGUCAACCUGCAAAUCUUUGGCCAUGCUUCCUUUC
RNAcentral lists this unclassified non-coding RNA (386 nucleotides) under Hevea brasiliensis (rubber tree). The record is from RNAcentral. Lineage: Eukaryota; Viridiplantae; Streptophyta; Magnoliopsida; Malpighiales; Euphorbiaceae.